ACGGAGCAGCGAAGAGCGGCGCUGGAGAUGGUUGCGGAAUUGCAGCGGAUGAGCA
Molecule: non-coding RNA, 55 nt
Filed under: uncultured eukaryote
Lineage: Eukaryota
Source: RNAcentral